Molecule: non-coding RNA, 975 nt
Organism: Arachis ipaensis
Lineage: Eukaryota; Viridiplantae; Streptophyta; Magnoliopsida; Fabales; Fabaceae
Source: RefSeq, a predicted model, not a curated record
AAAAUGAAACAAAAGAAAGGGAUUAAGGGGAAACGGGAAGAAGGAGAGGGGAGAUGGGAGGAACGGCGCUGGCGAGGAGCCACUGCUGCCGCCGCCGCGUCGAGGCUGAGACACAGAGAGGGAGAGGGAGACUGAGCUGCGGCAGGGAGGAAGAAAAGCGUCGCGCCUCACCCCCGCCAGCCUUGGGGUCGCCGUUCAUGCCUCGUCGCGUCACCAUUAGUAGUCGCCGUCUUCGCCAACCAUGGUGGAGAGAGAGGAGGCGAGCGCGAGCCAAGAUCCACACCGGAGAGCUGCCGCUACUGGGUUCUGCCGCCGCCAUCCACCCUCCUUGCUUCCAGUCUCUGUUCGCGAAGAAUAGAGGGAGUUCGCGUUGCCGUCAGGUCCGCCAUCAGAUCCGCUGUUCCUCGCCGUUUCUGUCACCGCCGUCAGUGCCCUGCUGUCACCGCCGUCGCUGCUGGGAGCUGCACCGCCGUGACCGAACUUCUACCGCUGAGAACCGUCACUGCUGCCGCCAGCAACGCCACUGCCGGUAAGGGCUUAAGUUGGUCUUCGUUUCCUUUGGGUUUCCGGAAGCUUCAUUAUAGUUGUAUGUUAGUUUCAGUAUCGUCGCGGGAGAUCUGGUUGCCCCCGCCACUCGAGGUGGUUGCCGGGGCUGCCGCCAAGCCGGUUCAGGGAACGCUGCAGUUUUAUUUUCCUAGUUCGGUUCGAGUUCUAUAUGUCGAAUACCAUUUCUAAGUUGCUGUGAGUGCUGGGAAAGUGAUCAGGGGCUGAGUUUGUGUUUGCUGUUGAUUUCGGGUUGAGCUUAAAGGUUUCGUUAGUGCGUUUUGGGUUAUGGUUCGACGAAUCGAGGUUAUUCCUUUUCAGGAUAUGGAAGACGAAGCUUCAGGAGAGUUAUGUUUAUUUUCUGUUUAUUCGAUCUUUUUGUAUUACCGUAGCUAUUAUUUUUCCCUCACCUUUAUCUUUAUGAAGCUUGUA